AGACACCGGUGAGAAGGGGUGGGAGUGGCACGUGUGUCAUUGACCCCUCGCAGAAACAGCUCGAUCCAUCCUUGCUCGUCCAACUCCCCUCGGUUCCCUCUCUCUCGUUCGCGCUGCUCUGCUGAUCCUCAAUGCUUGCUAACCUUAAACCUGUCUGCUUUGCAAAUGACUCAUACUUCUGUAAUCUCGACCUGCCUGACGGAUGCCGGCGAGUGUCGCUAUCUCAGAGAGAAGCAAGAGUUCUCUGGUCUUCCACGCACUCAAUCUGCAGCUCACAGUAGAGCUUGCGCGACAGUUUCUUGGAAACCGUGAAAACACUUAGCCGGUGUAGCCGUGAUAAAAUCGUCGACUUGCGUCACAUACUUCAGGUGGUGUCUGUUCGACAUGCUCCUCUUCGAGUUCCUCGCUGCCGUCCUCCAAAGAAUCGAUCACCUCAAACUCGGAAACGCCGUAGACUUCAAACAGCGAUAUGGGACAAUAAUAUUCUGUGCCGUAGUGCGAUAAAAUUUCCACCUGUGAUAGUAAUAGAAAUAAAGUACAUAGUAAAGAAAGCAAUGUGAAAAGCAGGCAACAAAUGGUGUUCACUGUUCAGAGUCAUAUCGUCCAAGUUUGUCAGAAUUAUGCAAGUACCAGCGAGUACCAUAACAAGUUUUGAUGAAUUUGAAGGUAAUACUUUCCGAGAAACCACAUGAUCUUCCGCCCAUUCAUCCUUUAAUUGUGCACAAGUCUAGUGAGUCUAUUAUCGCUUAUUUCGACGAGGCUAGUAGCUAUAAAAUAGUUUUUUUACGAAAUUGGUACGGUAUGGUUUAAAAAGCCAGUUUCCUUGUUAUCUGUACUUAUUCUUCUUGCUCAAGCUAGUAAACACGAAAUGUGAGUUGUUGGUGGGAACGUAGCUAGAGUAGUCAGUUGAUGGAGGCACGUGGCUCUGAAUAAAGGACAUGAUAUCUCACUUGUGAUAUGCAAUCUUUAAUCUUGUAAAGUAAUUGCUACCAGAUUUACGUUAGAUAUUAGUCCCAAAGUCCAAUAAGCGAAUCCUGAAUCUGUGAGCGUAGACAAACCUGCAAAUUAUAAAUCUAUUUCAACUUGUGUCAAUCUGUGCCAAAUUGUAUCAAUCUUUGUCUACCAGCUCCUUGAAUAAAGUUAUUAAACUGGAA
Long non-coding RNA from Hyalella azteca, 1154 nucleotides. RefSeq lists it as uncharacterized. The transcript has 3 exons. NCBI's taxonomy places the organism in Eukaryota, Metazoa, Arthropoda, Malacostraca, Amphipoda, Hyalellidae. The record is from RefSeq and is a predicted model, not a curated record.